AGUGAACGCUGGCGGUAGGCCUAACACAUGCAAGUCGAACGGCAGCACAGUAAGAGCUUGCUCUUACGGUUGGCGAGUGGCGGACGGGUGAGGAAUACAUCGGAAUCUACUUUUUCGUGGGGGAUAACGUAGGGAAACUUACGCUAAUACCGCAUACGACCUACGGGUGAAAGCAGGGGAUCUUCGGACCUUGCGCGAUUGAUUGAGCCGAUGUCGGAUUAGCUAGUUGGCGGGGUAAAGGCCCACCAAGGCGACGAUCCGUAGCUGGUCUGAGAGGAUGAUCAGCCACACUGGAACUGAGACACGGUCCAGACUCCUACGGGAGGCAGCAGUGGGGAAUAUUGGACAAUGGGCGCAAGCCUGAUCCAGCCAUACCGCGUGGGUGAAGAAGGCCUUCGGGUUGUAAAGCCCUUUUGUUGGGAAAGAAAAGCAGCAGGUUAAUCCCCCGCUGUUCUGACGGUACCCAAAGAAUAAGCACCGGCUAACUUCGUG
This 492-nucleotide ribosomal RNA is filed under the name uncultured bacterium. RNAcentral's name for it is "partial 16S ribosomal RNA". It matches the Rfam family "Bacterial small subunit ribosomal RNA", at positions 29 to 507 of the family's 1533-position model. The record is from RNAcentral.